This 405-nucleotide long non-coding RNA is filed under the name Zea mays. RNAcentral describes it as "long non-coding RNA NONZMAT004433". Lineage: Eukaryota; Viridiplantae; Streptophyta; Magnoliopsida; Poales; Poaceae. The record is from RNAcentral.
UAACUUGGCAUAUACACAUGAGAACAAAUGUUUAAUUUACACAUGAACAUACAUUACACAUAUCAAAAUAGUGCUGCGGGGAUUAUUUCACAGUUAGGCAUAGACGCUGGGUAGCAAGAAAGAAUUAGGAACUAGAUCGAUUAAUCGUCAACAUCAACAUUGCUGCAACGUGAUGAACAGGGAGGGUGCCGGCGUUGAGCGCUCGGCCGGCUCGGUGGUAGGCGGCGCUCCGGGCAGGGCGAGCGAGGAGGAGUAGGAGAGCUCGCCGGAGCGUCCUCGCCGGCGGUGGGGAGGAAGCAGGGACCUCCGGCGGCGCGAACAGAGGAGACGGCGACGAGUUCCAUGACGAGAGAGAGAGAGAGGAAGGUUUGGAGAGAGUUCGUACGGCCGGGGAUGGACCCAAGG